AUGGGCUACGAGGGUUUUCUCUUCACCCCGUUCCAGGCGGAGGAGGAGCAGGCGGAGGCGUUCGUCAGGGCCACCAGGGCGGAGCCGGAGAAGGAAGCGGCGAUCCUCAAGGCCAAGGAGGAGGCGGAGGCGGACCAGGAGCAGGCGUCCCUCAAGGCCAAGGCGGGGAAGGAGUGCGGCUCCAAGAGGAAGGCGGAGGAGGACCACGAGGAGGCACCGCCGGCAGUUGACGUGAUGAUACAAUUUAAUGGCGAGGAUGACUCGGAGGACGAGUUCUACAAGGCGUGCAUGGCGGACGACUCGGACGAAGGCCCGGAUGCGCGCUACGCCAAGUGCAAGGCGUGGUUCGAGAGCCGCAUGGAGGCCUGCAACGCUCGCCACCCUUGGUUGGUGGGCAAGGGCAAGGUGGCGGAUGCUGAUGCUGAUGCUGAUGGGUCUCUUGUGGUGCGAGAAGCUGAGAUCAUUGCUCUUGUGUGCAGUUCACCAAUGCUAUGCUAUCUACUACUCCCUCCGUCCGAAAAUACUUGUCAUCAAGAUAAAUAA
This 543-nucleotide ribosomal RNA is filed under the name Triticum aestivum (bread wheat). Its description in RNAcentral is "partial small subunit ribosomal RNA". The record is from RNAcentral. Lineage: Eukaryota; Viridiplantae; Streptophyta; Magnoliopsida; Poales; Poaceae.